AACGAACGCUGGCGGCAUGCCUAACACAUGCAGGUCGAACGAGACCUUCGGGUCUAGUGGCGCACGGGUGCGUAACGCGUGGGAACCUGCCCUUAGGUUCGGAAUAACUCCCCGAAAGGGGUGCUAAUACCGGAUAAUGUCUUCGGACCAAAGAUUUAUCGCCUUUGGAUGGGCCCGCGUUGGAUUAGCUAGUUGGUAGGGUAAAAGCCUACCAAGGCGACGAUCCAUAGCUGGUCUGAGAGGAUGAUCAGCCACACUGGGACUGAGACACGGCCCAGACUCCUACGGGAGGCAGCAGUGGGGAAUAUUGGACAAUGGGCGAAAGCCUGAUCCAGCAAUGCCGCGUGAGUGAUGAAGGCCUUAGGGUUGUAAAGCUCUUUUACCCGGGAUGAUAAUGACAGUACCGGGAGAAUAAGCGCCGGCUAACUCCGUG
RNAcentral lists this ribosomal RNA (433 nucleotides) under uncultured bacterium. RNAcentral describes it as "partial 16S ribosomal RNA". It matches the Rfam family "Bacterial small subunit ribosomal RNA", at positions 29 to 507 of the family's 1533-position model. The record is from RNAcentral.